RNAcentral lists this ribosomal RNA (326 nucleotides) under uncultured eukaryote. RNAcentral's name for it is "partial 18S ribosomal RNA". It matches the Rfam family "Eukaryotic small subunit ribosomal RNA", at positions 1470 to 1796 of the family's 1831-position model. The record is from RNAcentral.
CCCUUAGAUGUUCUGGGCUGCACGCGCGCUACACUGAUGCGAUCAACAAGUUUUUCCUAUGUCGAUAGACACGGGUAAUCUUUUGAACUCGCAUCGUGAUGGGGAUAGAUUAUUGUAAUUAUUAAUCUUCAACGAGGAAUUCCUAGUAGGUGCAAAUCAUCAGUUUGCAUCGAUUACGUCCCUGCCCUUUGUACACACCGCCCGUCGCACCUACCGAUUGAAUGGUCCGGUGAAAUCUUGGGAUUUUGUUUUGUUUGCAUUUAUUUGUAUCGAGACGAGAGAACUUGAGUAAACCUUACCAUUUAGAGGAAGGUGAAGUCGUAACA